Molecule: ribosomal RNA, 427 nt
Filed under: uncultured bacterium
Lineage: Bacteria
Description: bacterial SSU rRNA
Rfam family: Bacterial small subunit ribosomal RNA
Source: RNAcentral
GACGAACGCUGGCGGCGUGCCUAACACAUGCAAGUCGAACGAGGUCCAUGCAGUGGCAACACUGCGGAAGACCUAGUGGCGAACGGGUGAGUAACACGUGAGGAACCUGCCCCGAAGACCGGGAUAACCCUCCGAAAGGAGAGCUAAUACCGGAUACCCCCACCGGAUCGCAUGAUCUGGUGAGGAAAUGGAUUCCGCUUCGGGAGGGCCUCGCGGCCUAUCAGCUAGUUGGUGGGGUAACGGCCCACCAAGGCAUCGACGGGUAGCUGGUCUGAGAGGACGAUCAGCCACACUGGGACUGAGACACGGCCCAGACUCCUACGGAGGCAGCAGUGGGGAAUCUUGCGCAAUGGGCGAAAGCCUGACGCAGCAACGCCGCGUGGGGGAUGAAGGCUCUCGGGUUGUAAACCCUUUCAGCAGGGACGAA